AUGUUCUCGUCCCAGUCCCUCAGCCGCGUCAACAACAUCAGGACUGCGCUCAUCAACGCGCAGCAGGGCAACCAAUCGGUCGCCUCCUACUUUGCCUCCCUGCGCGGCCUCGCCGAUGAACUCGCCGCCGCCGGAAAACCUAUCCAGGACGACGAGUUGAUCUCGUACAUCCUCCACGGCCUCGACGUCGACUACCAGCCGCUCGUCUCCGCCCUCGACGCCCGCGUCACGCCCGUCACCCUCGACGAGCUCUAUGUCAUGCUGAGUAACUUUGACCAGCGCAUGGCCCAGUUCCACGGCUCCUCCGGCGGCUUCAAAUCUUCGGCCAACGCCGCAUCUCGCGGUCGUGGUGGUGGCUCUCGCUCGCGUGGAUCUCCCCGCAACAAGGGGCGGUCAGGAGGCAACGGCCGCUCCAUCAACUCCAAGCCUCGCCGCGGCGGCGGCUCCAGCUGGUCUCGUCCUGAUGCGCCCCGCUGCCAGAUCUGUGGAAAGCUUGGGCACAUAGCCAAGGACUUCUAGUACCGCUACGAUGAAGAUGACGACUCCUCCCAAGACGAGGACAAGGUUGUU
RNAcentral lists this ribosomal RNA (570 nucleotides) under Triticum aestivum (bread wheat). RNAcentral's name for it is "partial small subunit ribosomal RNA". The record is from RNAcentral. Lineage: Eukaryota; Viridiplantae; Streptophyta; Magnoliopsida; Poales; Poaceae.